This 465-nucleotide ribosomal RNA is filed under the name uncultured bacterium. RNAcentral's name for it is "partial 16S ribosomal RNA". It matches the Rfam family "Bacterial small subunit ribosomal RNA", at positions 28 to 507 of the family's 1533-position model. The record is from RNAcentral.
GACGAACGCUGGCGGCGUGCUUAACACAUGCAAGUCGAACGGAAAGGCCCCUUUGGGGGUACUCGAGUGGCGCACGGGUGAGUAACACGCGAGUAACCUGCCCUUGACUUCGGGAUAACUUCAGGAAACUGGGGCUAAUACCGGCUAGGAAUCCUUGCUGCAUGGUGGGGGUUGGAAAGCUUCGGCGGUUUUGGAUGGACUCGCGGCUUAUCAGCUUGUUGGUGGGGUAGUGGCUUACCAAGGCUUUGACGGGUAGCCGGCCUGAGAGGGCGACCGGCCACAUUGGGACUGAGGAACGGCCCAGGCUCCUACGGGGGGCAGCAGGGGGGAAUAUUGCACAAUGGGCGGAAGCCUGAUGCAGCAACGCCGCGGGCGGGAUGACGGCCUUCGGGUUGUAAACCGCUUUCAGCAGGGGCGAAGCUUGUGGUGACGGUACCUGCAGAAGAAGCACCGGCUAACUACGUG